GAUGAACGCUAGCGGCAGGCCUAACACAUGCAAGUCGAGGGGCAGCACGUCUUCGGAUGGUGGCGACCGGCGCACGGGUGCGUAACGCGUAUGCAACCUACCUCUUACAGUGGGAUAGCCCAGAGAAAUUUGGAUUAAUACCGCAUAGUAUACAGAUUCAGCAUUGGGACUGUAUUAAACAUUUAUGGGUAAGAGAUGGGCAUGCGUUCUAUUAGUUAGUUGGAGUGGUAACGGCACCCCAAGACAGCGAUAGAUAGGGGCCCUGAGAGGGGGAGUCCCCCACACUGGUACCUGAGACACGGACCAGACUCCUACGGGAGGCAGCAGUGAGGAAUAUUGGACAAUGGGCGAGAGCCUGAUCCAGCCAUGCCGCGUGCA
RNAcentral lists this ribosomal RNA (378 nucleotides) under uncultured bacterium. Its description in RNAcentral is "bacterial SSU rRNA". It matches the Rfam family "Bacterial small subunit ribosomal RNA", at positions 28 to 405 of the family's 1533-position model. The record is from RNAcentral.